This 65-nucleotide transfer RNA is filed under the name Strophurus assimilis (Goldfields spiny-tailed gecko). RNAcentral describes it as "tRNA-Cys". The record is from RNAcentral. Lineage: Eukaryota; Metazoa; Chordata; Lepidosauria; Squamata; Diplodactylidae.
CAGUCCUGAAGUGAAUGCACGUCGAAUUGCAAAUUCGAAAACGCACCCCAAAAGGUGCCCGGACU